AACAAACCAGUAAGGUUGCUCAUCUUUCUAUUUCAUUCUUUGUACUGAUAAGCUCUUCUUAUAUUUACGAAAGCAUCUAACAAUGUUUUUUCUUUUUAUUUAUUAGUUUUACAGGUUUGGGAACUAAAAAGCCAAAUAGAUGAACAAGAAACGAAAGAUAGAGACUGCAACCCUAAACUGGAAUAGAGAAGAGGUGAAACAGGAAGCAGAGGAGAAAAGCCCCUAAACUGGAAGAGAGAGAAGAGGUGAAGGAGGAAGCAGAGGAGAAAAGCCCAUAAAUUUGGGAGAGAGAGAGGGUGAAGGAGGAAUCACAAGGAAAAUCUUUUUGAGUAGACUUGGAUAAGAGAGAAAGGGUGAAAAACAGAGGUUUAAAGAAGAAAGAUGAACAAUGAGAGAGAAGUAAUUUGGAAGACAG
This 415-nucleotide long non-coding RNA is filed under the name Amborella trichopoda. Its description in RNAcentral is "long non-coding RNA (ATRI_LNC003307)". The record is from RNAcentral. Lineage: Eukaryota; Viridiplantae; Streptophyta; Magnoliopsida; Amborellales; Amborellaceae.